UGCGUUAGCUAGUGGACCCUCUCAUUGG
This 28-nucleotide non-coding RNA is filed under the name Mus musculus (house mouse). The record is from RNAcentral. Lineage: Eukaryota; Metazoa; Chordata; Mammalia; Rodentia; Muridae.